Long non-coding RNA from Apis cerana (Asiatic honeybee), 9888 nucleotides. RefSeq lists it as uncharacterized. The record is from RefSeq and is a predicted model, not a curated record. NCBI's taxonomy places the organism in Eukaryota, Metazoa, Arthropoda, Insecta, Hymenoptera, Apidae.
UCAACACGCGUUCCCAUAUUCUGUAUGAGUGUAAUUCUCCGCCGCAAUCGAGACCAUUGCUCAUGUUGUAACUCUCGUUUCCGAAAAUGUCUGAAGUCACAUUCAUGUCUGAAGAGUUCGCUAUUGCUGAAAAAUAUUUUGCCCUUCCUCGCACUUUUCGCAUGCAAGCUAGCGAAUGUAACACGCGCGUACACACGCACGUACGCAUGUAAAACGACGUUGAAAAAACGGUUCCGCUUUUCCGGCUCCUCUGGACGCUUAUUUCCAGUCUUUAAGGAACAGAGGGAUGCGUCAACUGCAUACCCUUUUCACUGAUCUCGUUGAUGGCGCGUGGUCUGUAAGUAGAAAUUGAUAAGAUUUCACUUUUUAUAUAAGCUUUUUUUUUUUCAGAAAAUUGGUGCAAAUCUGUGAAUAUAAUUAUAUGUAUGUGCAGUGGAUCACUAAAAAAAAAAAUAUUCAAAGUGAUAUUGAAAUGUUAAACGAUAUAAAGAUAUACGUUAUACUUAAAAUCUUGAUCUGAAGAUAAUCUUGCAUGAAAAAUAAAAAUAUAUUUUAUUUUAGUAUAAUUCAAGGUAAAUAUAUUUGUUAAUUCAAAGCAAUAAAUUUUUAAGUAGUUUUUUUUUCUUAAUUUUUCCUAAAAUUGUUGUCUUCCUUCUGUUGCAAGAUCCUCAAUCAUUAUAAAGUAUAAGUUAUUCAAAGUCCAAAUAAAUUUUCGUUGAAAUUAUUUAUUAUUUUAUUUACGUCGUUAUCCAAGUAGCAUUUCUGGAUAACAUAAUUAAAUUAAGAAAUUGAUAUUCAUUACCGGCCACAUGAUCCAUACCAGUAUCCAGGCUGCCGUUGCCAUCAUCGAUGCUAAUAUGCUCUGGGAUGAUCAAGCAAGCAUACUCAAGCACGCCGCAAUGUGUAGCCAAACAGAGAGAAAUCAUUUUGAGUACUUACGAUGAUUCUGUAAAAAUAAUCGAUAUACCGAUUAAAAUAAAAAUCAUAAGAAAGGCAAAAUGAGUGGACUAGAAAUAGGAUAAAGAAUAAUAUUCAAGAAAAAGAAAUCAAAAUCAUUUAAAAAUUAUAAACUAUUCCAUAUAUAAAUAAUUGCAAAUAAAAUUAACGAUCCUUCUUAAUAUAAUAAGUUGGAAAUCAGUGCAAUAGAGUUCAAAUUCAUAAAAAAAUGAAGUAAGUAUGAUUAAAAUAAAUAUUUUGCAACAAUUGCAGCCUUGCCUUUGAAACCGUUUGCCUUUGAAAUCGUCUCAUAUAUCUCUAAAACGUUUCUUAUGAAAUUCACAGUCUAAUCUUUUUUACUUUUGAUCUCAGUUUAAUCCUUUGUACAUAUUUUUUCGAGAUACAUUUUAGAAGCCAAUUGAAAGGAAAGUGUCUGUUUUAAGUGGUUCUAGAAGAAAAGAAAAAAGAACGUGGCCGAUCUUGGUGACGUUUUCCUCGGGUGUGAUUCUACGAACCACUCUUUGUACGUCUGUUGGCAGUGAGCCGAAUGAGACGCGCAACUGUCCCGAACAAUUCAACUCCUGAUCUUAACUUUGUAGAAUUCACUCCAUUAAAUUGUAAGUCUAAGUAGUUACAAAUGCAAUUUAAAGAGAUAAGCGUUCAACCUCUCACUGUACUUAGCAUUUGGAAAUUGAAAUUUUAUUGGUUGGAUGUGAAGUAAUCGUGGCACGAGCCAAGUCGAUCGAUUUUUUUUUGCACUAUUUGUUAAGAUUUUGUUGGGAAAUUGAAAUACGUAUGUGUUUGUAUUUUUCUUUUGUUUUUUUUUUCUUAAUUUCAAAAUUGAAUUUGAAAGAUACAGAUCUUCAAAAAAAUUAAUUUUGAAAUGAUCAAUCGUAGGUAAAGUAGAUAUAUUCUCUGCAAGAGAAUUUUAAUUUAAUUUUUCAAAUUGUUUUAAUAAAAUUUGCUUUUUCACACAAUUCCCGCAUAAGCUUAUCAGUUCAGUCAGACAGAGCUCUAGUUCCAAUAGUUCGAUGUAUCGGCACGAAUACUCGUAUUGGAUUGCACUCAUAUUGGAUAUUCGCAAGAUUUUUCUAUCAUUUUGUAAUUAUACAUCACAUUGUAUAAUAUUAGAGAUUCUCUGACUGCGUUACGUUGUUAACGAUGUAUAAUGCCUCGACAAGAUUGUCCAUUGUUUCUUCGAAACAAUGCCGAUCGUACAAUCUACUGGAAAUCCGUCAAAACUUCUGCAUUCAUCCAAUAUUAUACGAACACGAUAAUAUUUAUAUUUAAAAGCGCACAAUAAAAAAAUAGAGGAAAUUCUUGCGCUAAAUUUAAUGUCAUGGAUCUACCGAAUAUUAAUUUGUAAAACGAAUACAUUGUAAUUAAAAUCUGUACUUAUUAUAUAAGUUCAUAACCUAUUAAUAUAAAAUACGAAGAUACGAGAGCAGAGAAGAAAGGAGAGAAAGGAAAGAAGAAAAAUUUGUCCGCAUCUACGAAAAGGUUAAUAAUGAAAAAUAUCUCCAGUAUUAUCCUACUUACUUUUUGCUGAUGCGUGCUCCCCGGUGCUCAUUGUUGCUUAACGACAACAUGUCACAUUUCUCGUUACACCGCGGUUAAUAAAAGUCCCAUCACCAGUCACCGGCAUCUUGGCCCUCGUGAACAUGAUGACGGGCAGAGAAUUCUAUUUUUCAUCGAUCGAAUCUUGUACGGAGUUGCAUUCUUCCUCGAAGGAUAUCACACGGGAUAUAUCACAGUCGAUGGUGCAUUUCAGCCGGUGUGUUGCGGACCAAUUACUGCACAUAAAAGAAUUACUUGUAAAUAAAUGAUUAAAACUGUUAACUACGCCGGUGCUAUGAAACGGAGGUUGGGUCAAAAAUUAUCACAACAUUACAAGUGCGUCCAAAGUUACUCAAAUUUUAUUUCAAUCAUGUUUGCAUUAUCGUCAUGACGCAUUUAUUGUGUCGAAGAAAUGACCCAACCAUCUAUAACCAUCUAUUAAUCAAAUGGAUAAAACACGUAAAUACAUAUUUUCAUUUUUUAAAUUAAUAUUUAAUAAAUAUUGCUUGGUAUCUCAAGUUGCCAAACCGAUCAUUCCAUGCGUAAAUAAUCUAAUAUCUCGUUAUAUUAUGAUAAUAAUGAUUAAGUAAUAACGAUCCCUAUGUAACAUUAGUGAGGUUAACAAUCUAUUUGCUGAUUUGUCGUGGUUAUCAGCCUGCGUACAAGUUGCCAACCGUAUAUGGCGAAAACUUUGAAUUCUAAUUAGGACUCACAAGUCCCGGAGUUUCUUGGUACUGUUUCAAUAGUAAUUGAUGUAUUAGUGAGCCACAAAAGCUACAAAAGGAGAUUGGCGAGCCAGUUUGCCAAAUUGCAACCAUAUAUUUGUUAUAACUAAGAAUUUCUCUUAAUAUAUAUUUGCACAUAAGAUAAAUGAUCAAAUUUAACAAUUUCUAUAUUGUUUUCUUUUAAUCUCAAAUUAUACGUUUAUAUACAACUUUGUAUAAAUUUCGCAUUAACCAUAUUAUGUUUAAAAAAAAAUAGAAAUGAUUUUGAAAUUUGUAAAAGAAAAACUUUCAACCAAAAAAGAUUAUUGACAUGUUAUUAUCAUAUUCUUCCUAUAGAAUAAUAUUUUUGUAAACAACUGUUAUUUCAUAUUUCUAAAAAUAACAAAGAUAUUUAUGUGACCCCAUUUAAUUACUACUUUUUACAAAAUAUUUAUCUCAAACAUUGUAACAUUUUCGUUAUUCUUUUAACAUUGUUAUUUGAUUCACGAUGAUAAAUACCGUGAUUCAAGAUCAUCUUCCAUAAAAUAAUUCAAUUUUUCUUCAGUUUUAAAGCUGAUCAACGAUUUUAUAAUUAUAACAAUAUUUUUAUUAUCGUACUUUAUUAUAAAAAAUUUAGACAUAGUGGUAUAUUUUUUUUUAUAUUUUUAUUAUUUUAUUAGAAUUUAUACAAAGCGAAUAUUUUAUGUCGUCAUAAAAUAUUUUUUAUAUAAUAAUUCUUUUUUAGAGCUUUACGUAAUUAUUUUUUUUUAAAAAUUAAAAAAUCAUUAGAUUGAUUUCUGCCUAAUUCAAUUCGAAAAUAUAUCUAAUUAAAUUUCAAUCUUUUCCACUCAUUACAAUUCAAAAUUAUCUUUUCCAAGUUCUUAUAUCGGUAUUUAUCGUAUAAACUAUCGUAAGAAAGAACAUCAACCAUUCUGCGAGUAUUCUUUAUUCUAUGUAAUUAAAUCGACAUUAACGUCAUUAAACUAGCGCUGGAGGCGUAGUACGUAGUGCGUAUAAGAGUACCAAUUAAGCACGUACGUUUUGACACUUGUUAUGAAAUAUACGAGCAAAAAACAAGAUAUUAGUACUAAAAUUAAAUACAAAUCGCUAUAGUCGUUUUUUAUAAUUCGCUGUAAUUCUAUGUAUCAAGUUAAACUCGUAAUUUAUUUUAGAAAAAUCCUCUUUCAGGCAUUUACAUAUUAUAAGAGAAAAUUAUAUUUUCAUUGCUGACUUGAUGAAACUGUUCAGAACUCUACACUUUUCUUACUUUUAGUCAUAGAACAAGUUAGUAAAGUUUAUGCGGAAGUUUAUGUAGAACACUUUGUAUAGAGGUAUUGGUUAAACAGUUCGAUAUAAUAUGAUAAUGGAGAGAAAAUAGAAAAAGUACUAUAAAGAUUAACGUGAACAGCAUCGAACAUAUACAGUAAAUACUCUGUGAUUCUAGCACGCUUACUGAUCACGUGACAAUGAAAUAUUAGAUAUCUUUUUAUCUCUAUAUUUUGAAUUAUAUCGAGGAUGCUAAUAAAUGUAUCCAUUUUUGAUGCAUAAAAAUUUUUAUUAUACAAUACAAUACAAUAUAACAACAAGAUAAUUAAAAAUCACUUCGACAAAAUGAUAAUAAAAUCUCUAUUAUAACUGUGAAAAUUUCAUAAUUUGGUCGAAACAUAAGAUAUUCUUAUAAGAAAUAUGCUAUCGUAAUAUUAAUAAAUGUUUGAACUGUUGUGAUAAAUUGCUCCUGAUAAAUGAAAUAAUUUUUACUUGGAAAAGAAUAAAAAUUAUGUGACGCUCAAUUUUUUUAAUCGAUGAAGCAAGAGAUUAAUCCUUUCCUAAUCCACUCGUUACGACUCGUAUGUGUAAUACAUCAAAUUUUAUUCAUUUGUUUAUGAACUUUUUAAAUAACCCAUGAUUAAUACAUACUAGUGCCUCGUUUAGUGUCUACUUAAACAAAAAUUAAAUAAUUAUACUGAUGAAACUAUUUCAAUUCGAGGAACACGAUUUAACGCGAAUCUUUUAAUCUUGAUUGCAAAUUUUUAAACUUGAAUCACAGUUAUAAUUAAUAACUGCAUUUUUUCUCGAAAAAUUUUACAAUGUUUGAAAGAAGCUGUUCAGCAUCGAAAAAACAUUUGAUAAGAAUUAUAAUGAGAAAUAUUCGAAGUGAAUUAAUUAUUGUAGAAAGCAAUAGUUAGAAUUCGAAUAUAUAAUUAUUACAUAAAGUAACAAUUAAAUAGGUAAGUAAUUUUUUCUUAUUUAAUAAUGUAGUAAUAUGGAAAAUAUAAUAAUUAAAAUGAAUUAGAAAAAUAAUAUUUGACAUCUGAAAAUAUCGUCUUUUCCAUUUCGUUAAAGACUAAAAGGACAAAUACUAAAUCUAGAACUCGGAAAACUUCAAGAAACUCGUAGUUUGAAUUACGGAUUCUUUAAACACUUGAAUAAUUCUUUUUUUUUUUUUCUUUUAGAUUUCAAUUAUUAAAGUUUUAUGAUAUCUUAGCUGGGAUAAUAACGUUCUUCAUUACGAAUUAUUACUUUUAGUUUUAUAUUCAUUUGUUCUCAAUCUUAUCAUCAAUCUUCUCCAGCAAAAAAGAGAAUUAUAUAUGGAAAGAUCUCCUUUUAUAAUGGUUUUUAUGUAAUCAUUCUAUACAUUUUACAAUAUUUCAGAUUUUAAUGAAAAAAUUUCAACUAUAUAUAUAUAUUAUAUAUAUAAUCAUAUGAAUUUUUUUACAGCCUGAUACAUAAAGAUUUUAACAAUAUUUUUUAUCUUAUCUUAUCAUUUACUUAUGAACGAUUAAUGUAUAUAUUCUGUAACAGUUAAAUUACCAUUAUUGCAUUUUUCUUAAAAUUUGGAAAAACUAUAAACAAAUAUAAAGAGAAACCUAAAUAUUAAUUUUCCAAUUAACACGAAUCUAACACUUUCAUAUAUAGAAAUUUAUAUAUAACUAUCUAUAUGUAAAAAUAUCAUAGAUACUACAUGCAAUCUUAAAAUAAUUAUUUAAUUGCACAAAGAGAAAACUGCGUUUAAAAAAUAUGACAAGAUAAAAAUUAAGAGUAAGAAAAAUAAAAGAAGCAAAUUCAUAGGAAUUUUAGGGAUUAGAAAUAUUAAUGCUUCUAAACGAUGUUAUUGUCAUUGAUAUAUUUAAAAUGCAAGUAAACACAAGGUACAUUAAUAUUUUUUUAUUGUAUUGAUGCAUUUUUAAUUAAAAAAUUUUUAACGAGUAUACGUAUAAUUCAAGUUUCCUAUAGUUUGUAAUAGUUUGUAUUUAUGUGAAUAAUAAUUUUCACAUAAAUUACUAUUACUAUUACUAUUCAAAAGUUUGGAAUCACAUCUGUUAUUUAUGCUUUAUAAAAAAAAACAAAAUAAUACAUUUUCUAUUUUUGUUUUUGUUAAAUUUGUUACAGAUUUCUUUCACUAUAUUACUAUUCUUUUUAUUUAUAAAUAAUUAUUUAUAAAUAAGUGAUAUUAAAUUUUUGCAUAUGAUAUAUUCGUAUAUAUAUUUUUUAUUAAUCAAGGAUUUUUGAUAUCUUUUUGAUAUUUGUUCAAAAUUUAUUUGCGAAAAAAUAUAAAUUUAUUUAAAAAUAUUUGGAAUAAUUAAUUUUUAAAUAUUGAAUAAACAACAUUGAUUAUAUAAAAUUUAUAUUUAACAACGUAAAGGCGUGUAAAAAUAUUAAUUAUAAAAAUUUAUGUGAUUAUAUGAUAUGUAAGUAUAUAAUAAAAAUAAACUAAAAAAUAAAUAGAUAAUUGGUUUUAUUGAAAAUAAAUUAAUUACGUAACAUUAAAAAUAAUUCUAUUUUUAUUAUAACAAUAUACACGAUUAAUAAAUAUCAUUGCACUAAAAUAUAAAUGUUAAAAAAUAAAUUAAUUACUUACUACUAAAAAUUUAUAAUUUAUAAGAAAAAGAUAAUUACAAAACAUAAUUAAAAGUUUAUAAAUACAUAAAAUAUUAAUUCAUAAAUAUAUAAAAUAUUUUUAAUAUAAAUUAAAUUCAUAAGUUAUUGAAUUCUAUUCGUUAUAAAUAUUGAUGAUUAUAUUCAUUAAUAAAUGUAAUAAUAAAUUUCUAUAAAUGAAAUAAAAAAUUUAGAAAACAUGUCGAUAUAUAUAAAAAUUUGAUUUAAAGCGUACAGCUGUGAUGGAUGGAUCUAGAAAACAAUAUAAGAAUAACAAAAAAAAGAUAGUAAAAAGAUAAUAUUAAUAUGUGCGUUACAAAAAAAUCUUUUAAUAUCUUUAAAAAGAAAUAGAAAAUAAUAUAAAUAAAAUUUAUAAUAAAGAUGACAUGGUAAAUAAAAAAAUUGCAUAUUAUUCGAUAUAGAUAUGUAAUAUAUAUAUUUUAUUUAAAAAAAAUUAAUAUGAACUGGAAAUACACAACUUAUAAAUAUAUGCGAAGUUAAAUGUUAAUUGAAAUAUAUAAUAAAAUAUAAAAAUAUGUCAAUUGAAUCAAUAAAUAGAUAUAAUUUAUUUAUUAAUAUAAAUUUUAAGAAAGUAAUAUCGUUGUAAUUGAAAAGUUGAACAAGAAGAUAAUUUAAGAAAAAUAUUAUGAAAUAUUAUUAAGAAUAAUACCAAUAGAGAAAGUGGCGCCAUCAACGAUACUAAUGGUGAUGAAAAUAUCAACAACAAAAAUAUUAACCCCUAAUGAUUACUAUGUCAAACUUAAUAAAAACAUUAAUUUAACUAAUAUUAAAAUAAAUAAAAAGGCUUAAAUAUUUUAACCUUACAUUUACCAUUCAACGAAUUACACCAUAAACUAUAUAAAUAUUAACAACACCAUCAAAAUAUAGUCAUUACAACAAUUUGUCGAACACUUUUUACCUUCUUUAGCGUGUUCACACAUAACAGUUAGCCACUUGGACAAAAUUCAUUAACUCCUUAAUUAUAGAAUACACCUUUGAUUUUGUUCUUUUUUUCUGUUCAUCAUGUUAUGUUUUAUUUAACAUUUAAAAGUUUUUUAUCAAUUAAUCAACGGAACAAAAAGUAUUAAAAUGUAGAAUAUCCACUGGUUUCGAUGUUAGAAUUUUGAUGAAGAACCGUUAGGCGUGGUAAGAAGCCCGACACAGGUUGGAAAAAAACAUAACUUAAUUUGAGUGGUGGAAAUAAAAAAGAGGAAUUGGCGAAUUUUUAAUUGUGUCUUGAAGAGCUAGGACAUACCAAAAACAAUUUAUUAGAAAAUGAAAUUGAAUUUGACAAGAAAUAAAAAAAACGGUGAAAUAUAAAAAAAAUUUAAUAUCUCGAUCGAUAAAAACUGAACGAAUUGUUUAUCGACUGAGAACGACCACUUUUUAAGAAAAACAUCGCAACAAAAGCUCAAGCAAUCGUGCAAUAUUUAUAAAAAUCAAAAGAAGGAACAAUUAUGAUAUAAUGAGAAUUCGUCGAUAUAGGUUACAUCGUGUCAACUAAAUGGAAAACACCGAAAAAAAAUUUCACUGACACAAUAAACUCGAGGGCGAGACCGAAAAUCCACAAAACGAUUGCGUUUCCUUACGUCGAAUUCACACAUAAUUUAAAUCACUGAUAUCCAGCAUCGGUGUAGAAAGGCGGGACGAUCUGUACGAAAAAUCUCGCGUGCAUCGAUACACAAAACUAUAUUUCGGACUGAUUAUUGAGAGCACCAAAGGAUCCGAUGAUAUUUAGCAAGUACCACCACCCUUUUUUUCCACCGAUCAUCAACGGCACAUUCUCUUCGUUAUUUUGAUUCACUCGAGCCCGAACCUAAACCCGAGGGAGAUAGACAACACAACAAGCAGGCACACAGAUCAAGAGAGGACAGACCGCGUGUAUGUUAUAUAAUGUACCCGCGUACGUGUAGAUGCGUGAGAAAGAGUAAGUGAGCGAAUAAGUGAGAAAGAGAGAGAUAGAGAAAGAGAGCGAGAGAGAGCGCGCGCGAGAGAGAGAAAGCCAGAGCAAGAGAGAAAGAUAGAGAGUGGGGAGGAAAAAGAGAGAAAGACAGAAUGAGCAACCAAGUGGGGGUAACGGAGAAAGAGAGAGAGAGAGAGAGAGAGAGAGAGAGAGAGAGAGAGAGAGAGAGAGAGAGAGAGAGAGAGAGAGAGAGAGAGAGAGAGAGAGAGAAUAAGUGAGGCGGAGAGAGAAAGAAAGAGAGAGAUAGAGAGCUAGAGAGAGAGAGAGGAGUAGAGUGAGGGAGAGAGGAGGACGCAAAGACGACGAUGAUUGCACGAGGGAUGCGUCCGCGACGGAAGUACGAGGCACACUAAGGGCGUGGGCAAUCGGAGCAAGGUCGGUAUGGAGUUCUGAGGGGAGGACCCACAUUGAUUUUGAUUUUCGAAGCGCGCGCAUGAGUCUCCGUGUUCAGCUUUGUCCAUUCAUACGUAUGGGACAUUGGUCCUUAAAUACUUUGAAAUAGAUAUUGUACUUCACUAUUGAAACCGUGAAUGAUGAUAAGAAGUACGAAAGCGUUAUUCAGCACUCAAAGAAUACUUAUAAUAAGAGAUAUUAUGAAGCACACAAGGAAUACCACGAGAACAAUCGCAAGAAUUACUAAGAUGAAUUAUUGUGUUGAAACUUUAUAAAACAGUAAUCAAGAACAGAAGGAAUGGAUACUUUGAAAAAGAAUGUCUGAACUGCGCAAGACAGUCAUCGUUACGUGUAAAUUAAUUAUACAAAACGAAACGUGUUUCUUAAUUUCGUAGUUAAUAAAAUAAUACGAUUUUUUUUAAUAAACAAUAAUUUUUUAUAAAUCACUAUUUUUUCCAA